RNAcentral lists this small nuclear RNA (125 nucleotides) under Tilletiaria anomala UBC 951. RNAcentral's name for it is "U5 spliceosomal RNA". It matches the Rfam family "U5 spliceosomal RNA". Rfam says of the family: U5 RNA is a component of both types of known spliceosome. The record is from Rfam by way of RNAcentral. Lineage: Eukaryota; Fungi; Basidiomycota; Exobasidiomycetes; Georgefischeriales; Tilletiariaceae.
CUCUCCAUCGAGCACCCCUCGCUGUACCAAAUUUCGCGCCUUUUACUCGAAAUUUCCAGGAGGGUGCUCGGCUUAUCAAUGGAGAUGUAGCCACUUUUUCAGACGAUUCCUUCCCUUGGAACCAC